RNAcentral lists this non-coding RNA (22 nucleotides) under Arabidopsis thaliana (thale cress). The record is from RNAcentral. Lineage: Eukaryota; Viridiplantae; Streptophyta; Magnoliopsida; Brassicales; Brassicaceae.
CGAUAAUAACCUCUCACAACUU